This 220-nucleotide ribosomal RNA is filed under the name uncultured bacterium. RNAcentral describes it as "partial 16S ribosomal RNA". It matches the Rfam family "Bacterial small subunit ribosomal RNA", at positions 67 to 280 of the family's 1533-position model. The record is from RNAcentral.
UUUAUCGGAUUAGCUUGCUAAACUGAUAAACCUAGCGGCGGACGGGUGAGUAACGCGUGAGCAAUCUGCCUCAUACAGGGGGAUAACAGGUGGAAACACCUGCUAAUACCGCAUAAGACUCCACUACCGCAUGGUAGAGAAGUCAAAGGGCUUACCGGUAUGAGAUGAGCUCGCGUCCCAUUAGCUAGUUGGUAGGGUAAAGGCCUACCAAGGCGACGAC